This 492-nucleotide ribosomal RNA is filed under the name uncultured bacterium. RNAcentral's name for it is "partial 16S ribosomal RNA". It matches the Rfam family "Bacterial small subunit ribosomal RNA", at positions 29 to 507 of the family's 1533-position model. The record is from RNAcentral.
AGUGAACGCUGGCGGUAUGCCUAACACAUGCAAGUCGAACGGCAGCACAGUAAGAUCUUGCUCUUACGGGUGGCGAGUGGCGGACGGGUGAGGAAUACAUCGGAAUCUACUUUUUCGUGGGGGAUAACGUAGGGAAACUUACGCUAAUACCGCAUACGACCUACGGGUGAAAGCAGGGGAUCUUCGGACCUUUCGCGAUUGAAUGAGCCGAUGUCGGAUUAGCUAGUUGGCGAGGUAAAGGCCCACCAAGGCGACGAUGCGUAGCUGGUCUGAGAGGAUGAUCGGCCACACUGGAACUGAGACACGGUCCAGACUCCUACGGGAGGCAGCAGUGGGGAAUAUUGGACAAUGGGCGAAAGCCUGAUCCAGCAAUACCGCGUGGGUGAAGAAGGCCUUCGGGUUGUAAAGCCCUUUUGUUGGGAAAGAAAAGAAGCAGGUUAAAACCCCGCUGUUCUGACGGUACCCAAAGAAUAAGCACCGGCUAACUUCGUG